CGUUCCGGGUCUUGUACACACCGCCCGUCACACCACGAAAGUCGGCAACACCCGAAGCCGGUGGCCUAACCCGCAAGGGAGGGAGCCGUCGAAGGUGGGGCUGGCGAUUGGGGUG
This 115-nucleotide ribosomal RNA is filed under the name uncultured bacterium. Its description in RNAcentral is "partial 16S ribosomal RNA". It matches the Rfam family "Bacterial small subunit ribosomal RNA", at positions 1369 to 1482 of the family's 1533-position model. The record is from RNAcentral.